AGACCAGUAUGAAUGGCAAGACGAAAGUUCAACUGUCUCCCUAAAUUAAUCAAUGAAAUUGAUUUUUCCGUGCAGAAGCGGAAAUAUAAUUAUAAGACGAGAAGACCCUAUGGAGCUUUAAACAUAUGAUCAAUUGCGUAACAUAAAAUCCAAAAGAUAAAAUAUUUAAUAUAACAAUAUGAUCAAAAUUUUAGGUUGGGGCGACCACGGAGAAAAACAAAACCUCCGAGAUGAAGAGAAUAUCUUAAUUCAAGAACUACAAUUCUAAAAAAUAAAAUAUUUAGCAUAAUUGAUCCAAUACUUUGAUCAACGAACCAAGUUACCCUAGGGAUAACAGCGCAAUCCUCUCCAAGAGUCCCUAUCGACGAGCGGGUUUACGACCUCGAUGUUGGAUCAGGACACCCCAAUGGUGCAGCCGCUAUUAAAGGUUCGUUUGUUCAACGAUUAAAGUCCUACGUGAUC
This 462-nucleotide ribosomal RNA is filed under the name Hynobius kimurae (Hida salamander). RNAcentral's name for it is "partial large subunit ribosomal RNA". It matches the Rfam family "Bacterial large subunit ribosomal RNA", at positions 1984 to 2605 of the family's 2925-position model. Lineage: Eukaryota; Metazoa; Chordata; Amphibia; Caudata; Hynobiidae. The record is from RNAcentral.